RNAcentral lists this long non-coding RNA (7068 nucleotides) under Sorghum bicolor (sorghum). RNAcentral's name for it is "long non-coding RNA (SBIC_LNC018517)". Lineage: Eukaryota; Viridiplantae; Streptophyta; Magnoliopsida; Poales; Poaceae. The record is from RNAcentral.
UUCUAUGCAAACCGUACACCUAUCUUUCAUCAAGAUUAGCACUAUCUCCAAACAGACCGAACCGGGCUUUCACUUGAGCCUCUUCACCUAGGAGUACCAUCGGGAACUUCCACAACGAUUUCUGAGCCUAUGGUGCACUGGGCACAAACCAUGCAACUAUCUUGCACCGAUACUAAUACUAUCUCCAACGGGACGGAAACGAGAUUCCAUAUGAUAAACUUCAUCUAGUAGUUCCAUCGGGUGCAUCUACAGUUCCGUCGAGUGUGUCCAAAUUGAUUUCUGAGCAUAUGGUAUGUUCCUUGCAAAUCGUGCACCUAUCUUGCAUAAAGAUUGGAACUAUCUUCAAACAGAUAGAACCAAGGUUCCACAUGAGCCUCUUCACCAAGGAGUACCAUCGCGUGCGUCCAAAAUAGUUUUUUAGCCUAUGGUGCAUUUGGCACAAACCGUGUACCUAUCUUGCACCGAAACUAACACUAUCUCCAAAGAGACCAAAGUGAGAUUCUAUAUGACACACAUCAUCUAGGAGUUCUAUUGGGUGCUUCCAAAUAUAUUUUUAAGCAUAUGGUAUGUUCGAUGUAAUUCGUGCACCUGUCUUGCAUCAAGAUUAGCACUAUCUCCAAACAAAGCAAACUGAGCUUCCACUUGAGCCCCUUUACCCAGGAGUAUCAUCGGGUGCAUCCAAAAUGGUUUCUUAGCCUAUGAUGCAUUAGGCGCAAACUGUGUACCUAUCUUGCACCAAAACUAACUCUGUCUCCAAAUAGACCAAAGCGAAAUUCCAUAUGACACAUGUCAUUUGGAGUUCUAUUGCGAUGCAUCCAAAUAGAUUUCUUUGCAUAUGGUAUGUACCACGAAAACCGUGCACCUAUCUUGCAUCAAGAUUAGCACUAUCUCCAAACAGAUCGAACCGACCUUCCACUUGAGCCUCUUCACCUAGGAGUACUAUCGGGUGCUUCCAUAAUGGUUUCCGAGCCUAUGGUGCAUUAUGCGCAAACCAUGCACCAAUCUUGCACCUAAACUGUCUCCAAACAGAUUGAAGCGAGAUUCCAUAUGACACACAUGAUCUAGGAGUUCUAUCGGGUGCGUCCAAAUUGAUUUCUGAGAAUACGGUAUGAUCCAUGCAAACCGUACACCUAUCUUUCAUCAAGAUUAGCACUAUCUCCAAACAGAGCGAACCGAGCUUUCACUUGAUUCUCUUCACCUAGGAGUACCAUCGGGAACUUCCACAACGAUUUCUGAGCCUAUGGUGCACUGGGCACAAACCAUGCAACUAUCUUGCACCGAAACUAAUACUGUCUCCAACUAGACUCAAGUGAGAUUCCGUAUGAUACACUUCAUCUAGUAGUUCCAUCAGGUGCAUCUACAGUUCCAUCGGGUGUGUCCAAAUUGAUUUCUGAGCAUAUGAUAUGUUCCAUGCAAACCGUGCACCUAUCUUCCAUCAAGAUUAGAACUAUCUCCAAACAGACAGAACCAAGAUUCCACAUGAGCCUCUUCACCAAGGAGCACCAUCGCGUGCGUCAAAAAUAGUUUCUUAGCCUAUAGUGCAUGAGGCACAAACCGUGUACCUAUCUUGCACCGAAACUAACACUAUCUCCAAAGAGACCGAAGUGAGAUUCGAUAUGACACAUGUCAUCUAGGAGUUCUAUUGGGUGCUUCCAAAUAUAUUUUUAAGCAUAUGGUACGUUCGAUGUAAUUCCUGCACCUAUCUUGCAUCAAGAUUAGCACUAUCUCCAAACAAAGCAAACUGAGCUUUAACUUGAGCCCCUUUACCCAGGAGUAUCAUCGGGUGCAUCCAAAAUGGUUUCUUAGCCUAUGAUGCAUUAGGCGCAAAGUUUCUACCUAUCUUGCACCAAAACUACCUCUGUCUCCAAAUAGACCAAAGCAAGAUUCCAUAUGACACAUGUCAUCUAGGAGUUCUAUUGGGUGCGUCCAAAUGGAUUUCUUAGCAUAUGGUAUGUUCCAUGCAAACCGUGCACCUAUCUUGCACCAAGAUUAGCACUAUCUCCAAACAGAUCGAACCGACCUUCUACUUGAGCCUCUUCACCUAGGAGUACUAUCGGGUGCUUCCAUAAUGGUUUCCGAGCCUAUGGUGCAUUAUGCGCAAACCAUGCACCAAUCUUGCACCUAAACUGUCUCCAAACAGAUUGAAGCGAGAUUCCAUAUGACACACAUGAUCUAGGAGUUAUAUCGGGUGCGUCCAAAUUGAUUUCUGAGAAUACCGUACGUUCCAUGCAAACCGUACACCUAUCUUUCAUCAAGAUUAGCACUUUCUCCAAACGAACCGAACCAAGCUUUCACUUGAGCCUCUUCUCCUAGGAGUACCAUCGGGAACUUCCACAACGAUUUCUGAGCCUAUGGUGCACUGGGCACAAACCAUGCAACUAUCUUGCACCGAAACUAAUACUAUCUCCAACUAGACUGAAGUGAGAUUCCAUAUGAUACAGUUCAUCUAGUAGUUCCAUCGGUUGCAUCUACAGUUCCAUCGGGUGUGUCCAAAUUGAUAUCUGAGCAUAUGGUAUGUUCCAUGCAAACCGUGCACCUAUCUUGCAUCAAGAUUAGAACUAUCUCCAAACAGACAGAACCAAGAUUCCACAUGAGCCUCUUCACCAAGGAGUACCAUCGCGUGUGUCCAAAAUAGUUUCUUAGCCUAUGGUGCAUUAGGCACAAACCGUGUACCUAUCUUGUACCAAAACUAACACUAUCUCGAAAGAGACUGAAGUGAGAUUCUAUAUGACACACGUCAUCUAGGAGUUCUAUUGGGUGCUUCCAAAUAUAUUUCUAAGCAUAUGGUACGUUUGAUGCAAUUCGUGUACCUAUCUUGCAUCUAGAUUAGCACUAUCUCCAAACAAAGCAAACUGAGCUCCACUUGAGCCCCUUUACCUAGGAGUAUCAUCGGGUGCAUCCAAAAUGGUUUCUUAGCCUAUGACGCAUUAGGCGCAAACUGUGUACCUAUCUUGCACCAAAACUACCUCUAUCUCCAAACAGACCUAAGCGAGAUUCUAUAUGACACAUGUCAUCUAGGAGUUCUAUUGGGUGCGUCCAAAUGGAGUUUUUAGCAUAUGGUAUGUUCCAUGCAAACCGUGCACCUAUCUUGCAUCAAGAUUAGCACUAUCUCCAAACAGAUCGAACCGACCUUCCACUUGAGCCUCAUCACCAAGGAUUAUCAUCGGGUGCUUCCAUAAUGGUUUCUAAGCCUAUGGUGCAUUAUGCGCAAACGAUGCACCAAUCUUCCACCUAAACUAACAAUGUCUCCAAACAGAUUGAAGCGAGAUUCCAAAUGACACACAUGAUCUAGGAGUUCUAUCGGGUGCGUCCAAAUUGAUUUAUGAGAAUAUGGUACGUUCUAUACAAACCGUACACCUAUCUUUCAUCAAGAUUAGCACUAUCUCCAAACAGACCGAACCGGGCUUUCACUUGAGCCUCUUCACCUAGGAGUACCAUCGGGAACUUCCACAAUGUUUUCUGAGCCUAUGGUGCCCUGGGCACAAACUAUGCAACUAUCUUGCACCGAAACUAAUACUAUCUCCAACUGGACGGAAGCGAGAUUCCAUAUGAUAAACUUCAUCUAGUAGUUCCAUCGGGUGCAUCUACAGUUCCGUCGAGUGUGUCCAAAUUGAUUUCUGAGCAUAUGGUAUGUUCCAUGCAAAUCGUGCACCUAUCUUGCAUAAAGAUUGGAACUAUCUUCAAACAGAUAGAACCAAGCUUCCACAUGAGCCUCUUCACCAAGGAGUACCAUCGCGUGCGUCCAAAAUAGUUUUUUAGCCUAUGGAGCAUUUGGCACAAACCGUGUACCUAUCUUGCACCGAAACUAACACUAUCUCCAAAGAGACCAAAGUGAGAUUCUAUAUGACACACAUCAUCUAGGAGUUCUAUUGGGUGCUUCCAAAUAUAUUUUUAAGCAUAUGGUAUGUUCGAUGUAAUUCGUGCACCUAUCUUGCAUCAAGAUUAGCACUAUCUCCAAACAAAGCAAACUGAGCUUCCACUUGAGCCCCUUUACCCAGGAGUAUCAUCGGGUGCAUCCAAAAUGGUUUCUUAGCCUAUGAUGCAUUAGGCGCAAACUGUGUACCUAUCUUGCACCAAAACUAACUCUGUCUCCAAAUAGACCAAAGCGAAAUUCCAUAUGACACAUGUCAUUUGGAGUUCUAUUGCGAUGCAUCCAAAUAGAUUUCUUUGCAUAUGGUAUGUACCACGAAAACCGUGCACCUAUCUUGCAUCAAGAUUAGCACUAUCUCCAAACAGAUCGAACCGACCUUCCACUUGAGCCUCUUCACCUAGGAGUACUAUCGGGUGCUUCCAUAAUGGUUUCCGAGCCUAUGGUGCAUUAUGCGCAAAUCAUGCACCAAUCUUGCACCUAAACUGUCUCCAAACAGAUUGAAGCGAGAUUCCAUAUGACAAACAUGAUCUAGGAGUUCUAUCGGGUGCGUCCAAAUUGAUUUCUGAGAAUACGGUACGUUCCAUGCAAACCGUACACCUAUCUUUCAUCAAGAUUAGCACUAUCUCCAAACAGACCGAACCGAGCUUUCACUGAGCCUUCUUCACCUAGGAGUACCAUCGGGAACUUCCACAACGAUUUCUGAGCCUAUGGUGCACUGGGCACAAACCAUGCAACUAUCUUGCACCGAAACUAAUACUGUCUCCAACUAGACUCAAGCGAGAUUCCGUAUGAUACACUUCAUCUAGUAGUUCCAUCAGGUGCAUCUACAGUUCCAUCGGGUGUGUCCAAAUUGAUUUCUGAGCAUAUGAUAUGUUCCAUGCAAACCGUGCACCUAUCUUCCAUCAAGAUUAGAACUAUCUCCAAACAGACAGAACCAAGAUUCCACAUGAGCCUCUUCACCAAGGAGCACCAUCGCGUGCGUCAAAAAUAGUUUCUUAGCCUAUGGUGCAUUAGGCACAAACCGUGUACCUAUCUUGCACCGAAACUAACACUAUCUCCAAAGAGACCAAAGUGAGAUUCUAUAUGACACACAUCAUCUAGGAGUUCUAUUGGGUGCUUCCAAAUAUAUUUUUAAGCAUAUGGUACGUUCGAUGUAAUUCCUGCACCUAUCUUGCAUCAAGAUUAGCACUAUCUCCAAACAAAGCAAACUGAGCUUCCAAUUGAGCCCCUUUACCCAAGAGUAUCAUCGUGUGCAUCCAAAAUGGUUUCUUAGCCUAUGAUGCAUUAGGCGCAAACUUUGUACCUAUCUUGCACCAAAACUAAUUCUGUCUCCAAAUAGACCAAAGCAAGAUUCCAUAUGACACAUGUCAUCUAGGAGUUCUACUGCGAUGCAUCCAAAUAGAUUUCUUAGCAUAUGGUAUGUUCCAUGAAAACCGUGCACCUAUCUUGCAUCAAGAUUAGCACUAUCUCCAAAGAGAUCGAACCGACCUUCCACUUGAGCCUCUUCACCUAGGAGUACUAUCGGGUGCUUCCAUAAUGGUUUGCGAGCCUAUGGUGCAUUAUGCGCAAACCAUGCACCAAUCUUGCACCUAAACUGUCUCCAAACAGAUUGAAGCGAGAUUCCAUAUUACACACAUGAUCUAGGAGAUCUAUCGGGUGCGUCCAAAUUGAUUUCUGAGAAUACGGUACAUUCCAUGCAAACCGUACACCUAUCUUCCAUCAAGAUUAGCACUAUCUCCAAACAGACUGAACCGAGCUUUCACUUGAGCCUCUUCACCUAGGAGUACCAUCGGGAACUUCCACAACGAUUUCUGAGCCUAUGGUGCACUGGGCACAAACCAUGCAACUAUCUUGCACCGAAACUAAUACUAUCUCCAACUGGACUGAAGCGAGAUUCCAUAUGAUACACUUCAUCUAGUAGUUCCAUCGGGUGCAUCUACGGUUUCAUCGGGUGUGUCCAAAUUGAUUUCUGAGCAUAUGGUAUGUUCCAUGCAAACCGUGCACCUAUCUUGCAUCAAGAUUAGAACUAUCUCCAAACAGACAGAACCAAGAUUCCACAUGAGCCUCUUCACCAAGGAGUACCAUCGCGUGCAUCCAAAAUAGUUUCUUAGCCUAUAGUGCAUGAGGCACAAACCGUGUACCUAUCUUGCACCGAAACUAACACUAUCUCGAAAGAGACCGAAGUGAGAUUCGAUAUGACACAUGUCAUCUAGGAGUUCUAUUGGGUGCUUCCAAAUAUAUUUCUAAGCAUAUGGUACGUUCGAUGCAAUUCGUGCACCAAUCUUGCAUCUAGAAUAGCACUAUCUCCAAACAAAGCAAACUGAGCUUUAACUUGAGCCCCUUUACCCAGGAGUAUCAUCGGGUGCAUCCAAAAUGGUUUCUUAGCCUAUGAUGCAUUAGGCGCAAACUGUGUACCUAUCUUGCACCAAAACUACCUCUGUCUCCAAACAGACCUAAGCGAGAUUCUGUAUGACACAUGUCAUCUAGGAGUUCUAUUGGGUGCGUCCAAAUGGAUCUUAGCAUAUGGUAUGUUCCAUGCAAACCGUGCACCUAUCUUGCAUCAAGAUUAGCACUAUCUCCACACAGAUCGAACUGACCUUCCACUUGAGCCUCUUCACCUAGGAUUAUCAUCGGGUGCUUCCAUAAUGGUUUCUGAGCCUAUGGUGCAUUAUGCGCAAACGAUGCACCAAUCUUCCACCUAAACUAACAAUGUCUCCAAACAGAUUGAAGCGAGAUUCCAAAUGACACACAUGAUCUAGGAGUUCUACCGAGUGCGUCCAAAUUGAUUUAUGAGAAUAUGGUACGUUCUAUGCAAACCGUACACCUAUCUUUCAUCAAGAUUAGCACUAUCUCCAAACAACCGAACCGGGCUUUCACUUGAGCCUCUUCACCUAGGAGUACCAUCAGGAACUUCCACAACGAUUUCUGAGCCUAUGGUGCACUGGGCACAAACCGUGCAACUAUCUUGCACCGAAACUAAUACUAUCUCCAACUGGACGGAAGCGAGAUUCCAUAUGAUAAACUUCAUCUAGUAGUUCCAUCGGGUGCAUCUACAGUUCCAUCGGGUGUGUCCAAAUUGAUUUCUGAGCAUAUGGUAUGUUCCAUGCAAACCGUGCACCCAUCUUGCAUCAAGAUUGGAACUAUCUUCAAACAGACAGAACCAAGGUUCCACAUGAGCCUCUUCACCAAGGAGUAUC